Molecule: ribosomal RNA, 445 nt
Filed under: uncultured bacterium
Lineage: Bacteria
Description: bacterial SSU rRNA
Rfam family: Bacterial small subunit ribosomal RNA
Source: RNAcentral
GUGAGGAAUAUUGCGCAAUGGAGGCAACUCUGACGCAGCCAUGCCGCGUGCAGGAAGAAGGCGCUACGCGUUGUAAACUGCUUUUAACCGGGAAGAAACCCCAGGACGUGUCCUGGGUUGACGGUACCGGAGGAAUAAGCACCGGCUAACUUCGUGCCAGCAGCCGCGGUAAUACGAAGGGUGCAAGCGUUAUCCGGAUUCAUUGGGUUUAAAGGGUGCGUAGGCGGAGCGUUAAGUCAGUGGUGAAAUCCUGCAGCUUAACUGUAGACUUGCCAUUGAUACUGGAGCUCUUGAGUGCGCUUGAAGUGGGCGGAAUGUGCCGUGUAGCGGUGAAAUGCUUAGAUAUGGCACAGAACACCAAUUGCGAAGGCAGCUCACUAAGGCGAUACUGACGCUGAGGCACGAAAGCGUGGGGAUCGAACAGGAUUAGAAACCCCUGUAGUCC